Long non-coding RNA from Triticum aestivum (bread wheat), 5205 nucleotides. RefSeq lists it as uncharacterized. NCBI's taxonomy places the organism in Eukaryota, Viridiplantae, Streptophyta, Magnoliopsida, Poales, Poaceae. The transcript has 6 exons. The record is from RefSeq and is a predicted model, not a curated record.
CGAUGGGCCUCCGGGGCGUUUGGGGCCUUGGGGGUGGGGGCACGCGAGUGGGACCCAGCUCUCGCCCCGCCUCUUUCCUCUUCCGUCCAGUUGUCAUCUUCCUUGGCCCUAACCCUAAGGUAGCGGCGGUGUUCUCGGCGCUAGGUUUGCCGCCGCAGUUUUCUCCUGGAGGGAGAGCUGCGCCGCCGUGGUCUCCGUCCUCCGGCCCGUCUGCUCGGUUGGUGGAGGGGUUCGGGGCUGGUUGCUGGACUCCGUCAGGCUGCUCACCUUUCUGCGCUCCGUAAAGAUUUCUUUGGGAGAGAGGGCCUGGUGGAUGUGUGCUAUUUUGCGGAUGUAGGCUGAAGUUGAGAUAUCCUUAUCGAUCAUGUCAUCUUUCUUAUUCUUACCCCUCGGUUUCUAAGCUUCGUGGUUCCAAUGCGUGUGUGUUGCAGGUGGGAGUUGUAUCUGCCACUGUUGGGGUGGAACAGAUUGACUUUAUUUUCUGGAUUUCGUGAUCGGGGUCACCCGAUCUGCUGCAUAAGAAUUUAUGGUCCAUUCUCUUCUCUUAGCUGUUUCUCCUUCAGAGUCUAUGCAGGGAAUGUUGAGUGAAUUCAUCGUGCCUGAAGGUAAAGACCAGAGCUUACUGAUAUAUACAAUUCCAAUGGGCAUGUAUUAACAGUCUACUUGGAGUCAUCUUUUCAAUGGGACUGCUCUAUACUACAUUAAGGAGCAGAAGUGCAAGGUCAUCGCUCUAUGGAACUGGUUUGUCAUAUUUCCCUGUAUACAUUUUGAUUACCCAAUCGUCUCCACGUACAAACUAUUAAUGCUCCAGGUAAAACCUUCGGAGUGGCAAAGGAGCUAAUUGCUGACAGGUGUUCCACUGUGGUUAUACAGUAUACUGCAUUGUCAUAUUCAUUGCCCAGCAAGAUACUUCAGGUGUUCAUAGCAAGCCUAUCCAAACUAUGAAUUAAUAUAGUGAUAUUCACACUUCUCAAUCAGUAUAUCAAAAGCCAUGAGCAAGAAUGCUUUGUAUCGGCUGUGCAUCACAAGGAAAGAAAAAAUAUACCUUAUAAAUGCUUCAGGUUCGCAUACCCACAAAAUCAGAUGCCAUGAAUCUUUUGAUAUAUCUGAACUCUAGAGUAUAAGAUACAUCUUCCUACUCUUCUAGCGAUCUAGAACCGGUUACCUCAUGACUAUUUAUUUGAGAUAUGCUAAAGUUACUUUAAUAGUAGAUGCAACUUGCAGCUAUUGUGCACGGUCGUUAGUCUGUGGGAAGUUUUAUCUCUUUCGUACAGUCAAAGCUAUGUGCAAUUCAUUCUUAUUAAAUUGGAAUCCAUCCUUGGUCAUUCUAUCUUCCUUUUCAUCAAUGGUUUAUGCUAAUGACAAUUUUAAAUUUAUUGGCGUAGAAGCAGAGCUUCAGGUCUGUAUGUUGUUUAUCGUCCAGUAUGUCAUUACAAGUAGCUUAUGGUUCAGUAUAUCACUGCAAGUAGUUUAUGGUUCAAAAGGAUUGUCGUCGAUGCUAAUGAGGAGACACAAGUUUAUGUGAAAUUUGUGUCUGAGACAUUUCUGUGAUGUCACUCUUUCACCUUGGAGAUCUGAUGCAUCACCCUCACUUAUGUCUUAUUUGCGUUCUCUUGGUACUUCUCUUUUAAAAAAUAUUUGGUUUUGGGUUUAAAUGGCCUAGAGAUGAGCUGAUGAUUGAGAUUAUUUCCCUAUUGGUUUGAUUGUCUGAUCGUUCUCUUGUUUCCACACACAAAAAAGAGUUGUGUUUCUUAUUACCUUGUCUUAUCAUUGUUUUCAUAGUUGUCCUUGUUGCGUAAUUUCAUUUAUUCAAUAGAUGAUUAUUAUAUUGCCAACUUGGUGGAAUACGCACGAUAUUUUUAUAAAUAUGAUCUUGCAAUGCAUUUAUUUUUCUCCAAUUGCUCCUGCAGUUAUUUUACUUAUACUAGCUUAGAUAAGAUCGCCAACAGUCUGGGCAGUCAAACCACUGGCUCUGGAAAAAAUGGCUUGCAGAAUGGGGAUGACAGGGCUGAAGACAGGCCUUUCUUCAAAAGGAGAGAAGGACACCUCUGAGGGCUCCUCUGCUACGUGUAUAAGCAAAAAAAGCUAAAAUGGAAGUUCACCAAGCUGGCCUUUCUCAAGCUACCACUUCCACUUGAUGUCUACAAGGAGGUAAAGCUAUCUUUCGUUAUUUUCAGCAUCCGGUAAGUAAUAAUUUCUCAAUUGCUUCUUCUUGAACUGUCUAUGAAUGGUUAUAUGCGUUGCACCUUAAUUUAGAAAUUGCUGUUGGUGAUUUCCUGACUCCUUUUUUUCUUAUAAAACUAUGAUCAUGUUUACAUGCACUGUCUACUAUGCAAGGGGACUUCGGUCCAUUGAUAAAUGGAUUGCAGGCUGGCCAAGCUAGUCACCUUUUCCUUUUUUUCCUUCUGUUCUUCUAUUCUCUACCUCUCUAUUUGUUUCCUCCCCUCCCUCCCUUCGCUCCUGUUUUGUACCCUGGUUUUGUAAGAACUAUUGCCCCAGUAAGCAUUUUGCUUAUGGGUUCUUUAUAAAAAUCUGUUGGUAAGGGGUCUCCCCUCCCGAUUUCCUUAAAGAAACUAUGCAAGGGGAAUUUAUUAUACUACAAGAACUGUGUAGCCACUUAUGAUGAAAUAAUUUUUUGUUUACUGUUGUUAUUAAGAAGAAUUGGUUUUAUUUUCCAGUUAUUAUAAAAAAGCUUUAAUUACCGAUGUUAGUUGCGUAUCUCGAGUGACAGUUUGUAAUCUGCAGGUCCUUGCUACACUUCAUCAGAAUGUUAUUCCUCCAAUGUCAAACCCAGCCAUCUUGUGGUAGGUUGUUUAUGUCCAUUUUGUUCAAAUUUGUACUUUGUUUGACAUGGUAUCUCACGCCUUCAUAUUUUUUUUUCCUGUUGAAGUGAUUUCUUGACUACAUCAUACGCCAUUGGCAGUGUUAUCAGUGUGAUGGCCUUAAAGUGGUCUAUUCAUCCUUAUGACACAACAUUAGCUUUAAUAUCCAAAACUCUAUAGCUCUAUGCAUUACUGACCUGUGCUGUGUAUAUGGCAAAGCAUCGGUCAUUGUUCUUGCAUGUAAGUAGCUCUCAAUAAAUAUAAGUGUUGUUCCAUAAGCUAAUUCCAGUGCUUUGGAUUCUCUUUCAGGAAGUUGCUCAGGAUGAUGAAGCUUGUUGACCUAAGAAGAUUGGCACUGACCCUUUUUUUUUGCAGGCUAAUAGAGAGCUUUAUUAAUUAAAGGUAUUCGCUGGGCAGUCCGCCGACAGGGCACUGACCAGGAAUCCGGGAGUGUUAUCGAGCCAACUAUCGGUCCUCUCAAUCGUGCAAGCAUGUUUAGCACAGAUGUGAGCAGGCCCAUUAGCUGAUCUUACAACGAAGAGACAGACCCUGCAAAGUCUGGCCAGUAUCCAGCUCAGUUUUAUCAGCUAACCAAGUGCUAUUGUUGGUGUUUAAAAGAAAGAUAAACCCCUAACCUGGCCACAGCUUUUUGUUUCAAAGGAGAAAGUGUUAUUCCCCCUUGGCCUUCGGAGUAGUACUAACCGGAUAUAGGACAUUGACUAGUCAUGUGGAUAGCCGAAUCCAGAAUGACUUGCGGGUAGCACCAGGCCUGAGUAGGCUACCUGAGUCAGUUGCCACCUGAGUCAGUUGCCAGAGUCCGGUGACUUCACAGCAGCCUCAACUCUAGUUUCUUCUUGUCGCCCCAAAGCUUUGAACAUGAGCCCUACCUGGCCGCAACCUUUUGUUUUAAAGGAGAAAGCGUUGCUCCCGAUUGGCCUACGGAGUAGAGAUUAACCUGAUAUAGGAGACAUUGACUAGUCCUGUGUAGCCGACACCAGUAUGACUUGCGGGUGCCAUGGCCAAGUCAGCUACCUGAGUCCGGUGACUCUACAAUAGCCAGACAUAACAUAAUCAAAACUUUAAAUCAUGAUCUUAACUCAAGUUUCUUUUCGUUCAUCCCAAAGCAUACAUUUUAAGAUAACUGACUCGAUGACAGAUGGAGGAUUUGAACAUGAUGAGGACACCUGGAGCAAAAAUAUCACCUAGGGCUUUCUGAAAAGAGGAUUUUUUUUUAUGACUAUAUAGUCUGGGUGUUGUUUUGUGCUAAUAUUGGUUAAGUUAGUAUUCUUUGUUGAGUUCAGAUAAUUCAACCUAUAUUUUUACUUUACGGCUUUCACCUUAGGUCUGUACUUGGUUAUCUGUAGAAAGAAUAUUGCAUGCUGUCCUGGUUGUCAUAAUGUUUUGGUAUCUUUGAUAUAGAAAUAGAACUAGGGAGGAACUGAUAACCUAGCUGUAACAGGUGGGUACUUGAAUGAAUUUGACAACCAGCUAUACUGCUGUUUGGUUGCUACAGCAACUGGUCUGGACUGAACUAGAUGGAAGUUUGCCUGAUGAGCGAUGAUGGUGAGAUAAUGACAGUGGUUUCACUUGCCCAUUCUUUCCUAUUACAGCUUGAAGCAACUUGUAACUAGUUACUGGGCUUUUGUAACUAGUUACUGGGGGCCAUUGCAAUUCAACAUGCAAGCUGCUAUUUGUCUAUUUCUCGUGGACAGUUUAUUGCCUAUCAUGUUUAUAUAUGGAUUUGGUGGCUUUCAUUGGUUGAUUGACAUGACGGAUCCAUAACAAUAGUAAGAGAGUUGGGUUGUACGUGUAAAUUAGUCAUUUGACACGAGUUUCUGCCAAAUGAGGCUUAAACCUGAACAGUAGUCGCUGUAGAAAGUACAAGAAAGCACUGGUGGCUUUGUGUUUUUCCGUUCUGACGACGUGUGAACCUUUGAGCCGGCCCAUUUCAGGGCCUUAUUUAUAUACCUGAAAUUACUUAAAGUGAAAAUUGCUGAGGGUUAUAUCAUCUUUUUGCAUAUUCAUAUGGGGGUUCUCCUGCUUGAUUACCAAGAGGUUGAUCCAAGUUAACGCCUAUGUUCUACUCCCUCUGUUCCUAAAUAUAAGUCUUUUCAGAGAUUUCAAUAAGGGACUACAUACGGAGCAAAAUGAGUGAAUCUACACUAUAAAAUAUGUCCAUGUACAUUUGUAUGUAGUUUGUAUUAAAAUCUGUAGAAAGACUUGUAUUUUGAAAUGGAAGGUUUACAUAACAGGAUUUUCUACAGUGUUGGUAUAAUCAAAGUGAAAAUCUAUAUGUGAUAUUUUUUCUUUGUGCUAAGACUCCAUGUCACCAAAGUUACUUUGAUACUGACUGGUGCUAUGUUAUAAAAUUAUGUUUCAGCCA